GCACCCUUAGUACAGUGGCAGAACGCGAGCUUCCCAAGCUCGAGAUGCGGGUUCGAUUCCCGCAGGGUGCA
This 71-nucleotide transfer RNA is filed under the name Candidatus Woesearchaeota archaeon. RNAcentral describes it as "tRNA-Gly". It matches the Rfam family "tRNA". From Rfam's summary of the family: Transfer RNA (tRNA) molecules are approximately 80 nucleotides in length. Their secondary structure includes four short double-helical elements and three loops (D, anti-codon, and T loops). Lineage: Archaea; Nanobdellati; Candidatus Woesearchaeota. The record is from RNAcentral.